This is a long non-coding RNA of Macrosteles quadrilineatus (aster leafhopper), 395 nucleotides long. RefSeq lists it as uncharacterized. Lineage: Eukaryota; Metazoa; Arthropoda; Insecta; Hemiptera; Cicadellidae. The transcript has 3 exons. The record is from RefSeq and is a predicted model, not a curated record.
GUAAGACCCGUAAAAAAUAAUUGCUGCACCUAGUAAAAAUGAUGAAAUCCCUAUUAUAAAAAUUAAACGGACGUUUACUUUAGUUUCAAUUCCUGCUGUGCUGCUGUGUGGCUGAAGGUUAUUUUAUCUCAGAAUGGAAAAAGCAAAAGGAGACAUAAGCAAUGCAAAAGGAGACAAGCAAGAUGAGAAGAACAGUCCAGAAGGGAAGAAGAUGAGCGAGAAGAAGGGGGGAAGUAAAGGUGAGAAGAAAGACAAGAAGAAGAAGAAGAAGAAGUAGAAUGAAAUAAUGUAUAUCAAAACACAUGGGGCAACCACUACACGUAAAAAAAUAAAUUUGGCUAAGAUAUAUGAUGUACAGUUAUUUUCUGUUAAGUAAUAAACGUUUGUAUCUAUAA